RNAcentral lists this transfer RNA (94 nucleotides) under Fusarium poae. It matches the Rfam family "tRNA". Rfam says of the family: Transfer RNA (tRNA) molecules are approximately 80 nucleotides in length. Their secondary structure includes four short double-helical elements and three loops (D, anti-codon, and T loops). Lineage: Eukaryota; Fungi; Ascomycota; Sordariomycetes; Hypocreales; Nectriaceae. The record is from Rfam by way of RNAcentral.
GCGGGUUUAGCUCAGUUGGGAGAGCGUCAGACUGAAGCCAAACUUCAAUUAUUACGAUAUCUGAAGGUCAUGUGUUCGAUCCACAUAAACCGCA